AACGAACGCUGGCGGCAUGCCUAACACAUGCAAGUCGAACGAUGCCUUCGGGCAUAGUGGCGCACGGGUGCGUAACGCGUGGGAAUCUGCCCUUGGGUUCGGAAUAACUCAGAGAAAUUUGAGCUAAUACCGGAUGAUGACGUAAGUCCAAAGAUUUAUCGCCCAAGGAUGAGCCCGCGUAAGAUUAGCUAGUUGGUGGGGUAAAGGCCGUACCAAGGCGACGAUCUUUAGCUGGUCUGAGAGGAUGAUCAGCCACACUGGGACUGAGACACGGCCCAGACUCCUACGGGAGGCAGCAGUGGGGAAUAUUGGACAAUGGGCGAAAGCCUGAUCCAGCAAUGCCGCGUGAGUGAUGAAGGCCUUAGGGUUGUAAAGCUCUUUUACCUAGGGAUGAUAAUAGACAGUACCUGGAGAAUAAGACUCCGGCUAACUCCGUGCCAGCAGCCGCGG
Molecule: ribosomal RNA, 450 nt
Filed under: uncultured bacterium
Lineage: Bacteria
Description: bacterial SSU rRNA
Rfam family: Bacterial small subunit ribosomal RNA
Source: RNAcentral